GGGAGAGAGAGAUUGGGAGAGAAGGAGAGGGAAAAGAGAUUGGGAGAGAAGGAGAGGGAAAAGAGAUUGGGAAAGAAUGAGAAGGAAAGAGAUUGGGAGAGAAGGAGAGGGAAAGAGAUUGGGAGAGAAGGAGAGGGAAAGAGAUUGGGAGAGAAGUAGAGGGAAAAGAGAUUGGGAGAGAAGGAGAAGGAAAGAGAUUGGGAGAGAAGGAGAGGGAAAUGAGAUUGGGAGAGGAGAGGAAAAGAGAUUGUGAGAGAAGGAGAAGGAAAGAGAUUGGGAGAGAUGGAGAGGGAAAGAGAUUGGGAGAGAAGGAGAAGGAAAGAGAUUGGGAGAGAAGUAGAGGGAAAAGAGAUUGGGAGAGAAGGAGAAGGAAAGAGAUUGGGAGAGAAGGAGAAGGAAAGAGAUUGGGAGAGAAGGAGAGGGAAAGAGAUUGGGAGAGAAGGAGAGGGAAAGAGAUUGGGAGAGAAGUAGAGGAAAAGAGAUUGGGAGAGAAGGAGAGGGAAAAGAGAUUGGGAGAGAAGGAGAAGGAAAGAGAUUGGGAGAGAAGGAGAGGGAAAGAGAUUGGGAGAGAAGGAGAGAGGAAAGAGAUUGGGAGAGAAGGAGAGGGAAAUGAGAUUGGCAGAGAAGGAGAGGAAAAGAGAUUGGGAGAGAAGGAGAGGGUAAGAGAUUGGGAGAGAAGGAUGAGGUAAAUAAACCAGAUGGUCAUUAUUGGCAUGCAUUUCUCUCUUAUAUCUGUUUUCUGCUGUUUAUCAUGUAGGGAAAAGUUUAACCCUCUUAUAACCUCUGUCCCUAUCUGACCCCGACCUAUCCCAGAACCUCCUUAUUCUAUCAUCACUUUCUUCUCUCUCUUCUUCCCACCCAUCUCUGCAUUCCUCUAAAACACCAUCCCUGUCUUUCCUAAUCCCCUCAACCAACUGACAUGAUUGAAUGCACACGCCCACACACACACACACACUGCUGCCUAAACUAGCUCAUCCCCCCCCUCACACACACAGGUCCAAUUCAGACACAGGAGGGUGAACAGGGUCUAUUAAAGCCCCAGUCUAUUGAUUUACAUGCCACACUAUGACAAAGCCCCAGUCUACACAGCCUGACCAACCAGUAGCUACAGACCACAUAUAGACCUCAGGGUGAGCAUGGCUGUGUGUGUGUGGGGGGGGGGGGCUAGUUUAGGCAGCAGUGUGUGUGUGCGUGUGUGUACAGCCCGCUAACCAGCCAGUAUGUAUGUGUGAACACCCCCUGCAGCCACCACCAGUAUCAUACAUCCCAGUCUCUACUGUAGACAGACUAUAUGAACUGUGAUCUAUAGACAGACUAUAUUAACUGUGGUCUAUACACCAGUAUCAUACAUCCCAGUCUCUACUGUAGACAGACUAUAUGAACUGUGAUCUAUAGACAGACUAUAUGAACUGUGAUCUAUAAACAGACUAUAUGAACUGUGAUCUAUACACCGGUAUCAUACAUCCCAGUCUCUACUGUAGACAGACUAUAUGAACUGUGAUCUAUACACCGGUAUCAUACAUCCCAGUCUCUACUGUAGACAGACUAUAUGAACUGUGAUCUAUAGACAGACUAUAUUAACUGUGGUCUAUACACCAGUAUCAUACAUCACAGUCUCUACUAUAGACAGACUAUAUGAACUGUGGUCUAUACACCGGUAUCAUACAUCCCAGUCUCUACUAUAGACAGACUAUAUGAACUGUGAUCUAUAGACAGAGUAUAUUAACUGUGGUCUAUACACCAGGAUCAUACAUCCCAGUCUCUACUGUAGACAGACUAUAUUAACUGUGGUCUAUAAACAGACUAUAUGAACUGGGAUCUAUAAACAGACUAUAUGAACUGUGAUCUAUAAACAGACUAUAUGAACUGUGAUCUAUAAACAGACUAUAUGAACUGUGAUCUAUAAACAGACUAUAUGAACUGUGGUCUGUAAACAGACUAUAUGAACUGUGGUCUAUAGACAGACUAUAUGAACUGUGGUCUAUAGACAGACUAUAUGAACUGUGGUCUAUAGACAAACGAUGUAAACUGUGAUCUAUAGACAGAUGAUAUGAACUGUGGUCUAUAAACAGACUAUGUGAACUGUGAUCUAUAGACAGACUAUAUGAACUGUGAUCUAUAGACUCCUCUGAAUGAAUCUCUUAUAAGUGGGCUUCUGUCACUGUGGUGGCAUGAGAGCUAAUCUGCAUAAUCUCCCCCGGUUAAAGAAGGAUGCCCGGGAUGCUUUUACAGGGGGAGGGGUGUGACGGGGGUGUUAGGAAUGGUACGGGGGGUUGUGGGGACACACAAUGAGGACUUUGUGCGUCUCCACUGGUACAGGGUUAGACAGGGCCUACAGGACUACUGUGGGAGACACCUGUCAGGAUAGGAGCCUGAGGGAACUGGUACUGAACCCAUGAAGAGGCUUCUUUAAUGAGGCGUUGUGUGGGGGGCGCGGUGGGUGUAUGAGUGUGCGUGUGUGCGAGAGAGAGAGAGAUUGAGUGUGUUUCAGAUCAAAUCAAAGUUUAUUGGUGGCGUACACAGGUUAGCAGAUGUUAUCGCAGGUGCAGCGAAAUGGUUAUGUUUCUAUCUCCAACAAUGCAGCAAUAUCUAGCAAUACAAUAAC
Long non-coding RNA from Oncorhynchus tshawytscha (Chinook salmon), 2605 nucleotides. The record is from Ensembl. NCBI's taxonomy places the organism in Eukaryota, Metazoa, Chordata, Actinopteri, Salmoniformes, Salmonidae.